UACGUAGGGGGCAAGCGUUAUCCGGAUUUACUGGGUGUAAAGGGAGCGUAGGCGGUUCAGCAAGUCAGAAGUGAAAGCCCGGGGCUCAACUCCGGGACUGCUUUUGAAACUGUGUUGCUAGAUUGCAGGAGAGGUAAGUGGAAUUCCUAGUGUAGCGGUGAAAUGCAUAGAUAUUACACAGAACACCGAUUGCGAAGGCAGCUUGCUAGGCCGGAUCUGACACUGAUGCACGAAAGCGUGGGGAUCGAACAGG
This 253-nucleotide ribosomal RNA is filed under the name uncultured Coprococcus sp. RNAcentral's name for it is "partial 16S ribosomal RNA". It matches the Rfam family "Bacterial small subunit ribosomal RNA", at positions 524 to 776 of the family's 1533-position model. The record is from RNAcentral. Lineage: Bacteria; Bacillati; Bacillota; Clostridia; Lachnospirales; Lachnospiraceae.